ACACUCACUCACACACAAUGUGCCAUCCUGACAAGGCUUUUACUUCUGAUAAGCUCCAAUGUGUGUUUAAUGAAUACAAAGCCGCGGUCUGGGUGCCGCCUCGGCCGCGGCCGCUCUCCCGCGCUCCUUUGCCAGAAGCUGGCGGAGAGAAUUUACAUUUAAAGAUUAGCAGAGUGAGAAAGAGAAAUCUGCCUUUUGUUGUGUGGGGUGAGGAGGAGGCAUCUACCCUGGCCUUGACGCUAUCUCCCAUCACCUCUGCUAUCCAGACAGGACUCACCGAGUAUCAAAUGAUAAGAACCGAGCACAUUGGAUGAAAUAAUACUUGCACUGGGAGCACUAAGAAAAGAUUGAUCUCUGGGCUGGUGAACAUAAUCUCUGUCCCAGUCAGAAAAGGAGAGAGGAAAUUAGCAGAGCGAUUGGUGGAGAAUGAUAUCUGUCAAAAGAAACACUUGGAGAGCACUGAGUUUAGUAAUAGGUGACUGCCGGAAAAAAGGGAACUUUGAAUAUUGUCAAGAUAAACCCCACUUGAAAAACUGAGGUGCUUAA
This 546-nucleotide small RNA is filed under the name Pongo abelii (Sumatran orangutan). Its description in RNAcentral is "processed transcript". The record is from RNAcentral. Lineage: Eukaryota; Metazoa; Chordata; Mammalia; Primates; Hominidae.